UGGCUCAGUGGUAGAGCGCUUGCCUUGCGUGCAUGAGGCCCUGGGUUUGAUUCCCCAG
This 58-nucleotide transfer RNA is filed under the name Dipodomys ordii (Ord's kangaroo rat). It matches the Rfam family "tRNA", at positions 8 to 63 of the family's 71-position model. Rfam says of the family: Transfer RNA (tRNA) molecules are approximately 80 nucleotides in length. Their secondary structure includes four short double-helical elements and three loops (D, anti-codon, and T loops). The record is from Rfam by way of RNAcentral. Lineage: Eukaryota; Metazoa; Chordata; Mammalia; Rodentia; Heteromyidae.